RNAcentral lists this long non-coding RNA (711 nucleotides) under Hordeum vulgare. RNAcentral describes it as "long non-coding RNA (HVUL_LNC007540)". The record is from RNAcentral. Lineage: Eukaryota; Viridiplantae; Streptophyta; Magnoliopsida; Poales; Poaceae.
GCGGCGGAGUCCCUGGGGGUAACAUGGCUGGCGAUGACGACCGCAGAUUAUUGAUCUCUUCCACUAUAACCUCCUUCUCCACUUCUUCCAUUAUCGGCAGGUUCUCGAGGCUGCGGCGGCGAUGGCGAGGCUGCGGAGGCGGGGCAGGUGGUGGUUCUGCGGACGCCAUCUCUGAUAGCGUAGCGCCCAGCUCCUCCGGGCUCCACGUCCUGCUCCUCGCCGGCAUAGCGAGAGUCCCCGUGGGAUGCGUCCUCUCCUCCUCCACCUCAACCAUCUUGGGUAGCCUCUCGAGGCUACGGCGGCGACGGCGAGGCUGGGGCGGCGGGGCAGGUGGUGGGUACGCGAACGCCAUCCCCGACAGCGUAGCGUGCAGCUCCUCCGGGCUCCACGUCCUGCUCCUCGCCGGAGUAGCGAGAGUCUCCGUGGGAUGCGUCCUCUCCUCCUCCACCUCAACCAUCUCGGGGAGGCUGCGGCGGCGACGGCGAGGCUGCGGCGGCGGGGCAGGUGGUAGUUGUGCGGACGCCAUCCCCGAGAGCGUAGCGCCCAGCUCUUCCGGGCUCCACUUCCUGCUCCUCGCCGGUGUAGCGAGAAUCUGCGUGGGAUGAAUCCUCUCCUCCUCCACCUCAACCAUCUUGGGGAGCCUCUCGACGCUCCGCCUCCGCCUCCUCGCACCCUGAGGGAGCACCUCGUAGGUGUCCACCGGGAUCGUCU